Molecule: non-coding RNA, 93 nt
Organism: Acanthosepion pharaonis
Lineage: Eukaryota; Metazoa; Mollusca; Cephalopoda; Sepiida; Sepiidae
Source: the annotation of a GenBank genome assembly
UUGAAAAACCUGUUCCCGUAGAUUCACCGAAGUUAAGCAACAUCGAUCCUGCUUAGUACUUAGAUGAGUGACCACUUGGGAAUACCAGGUGCU